This 420-nucleotide ribosomal RNA is filed under the name bacterium. RNAcentral describes it as "partial 16S ribosomal RNA". It matches the Rfam family "Bacterial small subunit ribosomal RNA", at positions 355 to 776 of the family's 1533-position model. The record is from RNAcentral.
UGGGGGAUAUUGCACAAUGGGCGAAAGCCUGAUGCAGCGACGCCGCGUGGGGGAUGAAGGCUUUCGGGUUGUAAACCUCUUUCGCUAUCGAACAAGGCCCGCUUAGGGUGGGUUGAGGGUAGGUGGAGAAGAAGCGCCGGCUAACUACGUGCCAGCAGCCGCGGUAAUACGUAGGGCGCGAGCGUUGUCCGGAAUGAUUGGGCGUAAAGGGCUUGUAGGCGGCUUGUUGCGCCUGCUGUGAAAACGCGGGGCUUAACUUCGCGCGUGCAGUGGGUACGGGCAGGCUUGAGUGUGGAAGGUGUGACUGGAAUUCCAGGUGUAGCGGUGGAAUGCGCAGAUAUCUGGAGGAACACCGAUGGCGAAGGCAGGUCACUGGGCCAUUACUGACGCUGAGGAGCGAAAGCAUGGGUAGCGAACAGG